GCGGACGUGGCGAAACUGGUAGACGCAAGGGACUUAAAAUCCCUCGGGCUUGCCCGUGCGGGUUCGACCCCCGCCGUCCGCACCA
This 85-nucleotide transfer RNA is filed under the name Aphanothece sp. Its description in RNAcentral is "tRNA-Leu". It matches the Rfam family "tRNA". From Rfam's summary of the family: Transfer RNA (tRNA) molecules are approximately 80 nucleotides in length. Their secondary structure includes four short double-helical elements and three loops (D, anti-codon, and T loops). The record is from RNAcentral. RNAcentral also lists the same sequence under 6 other names. Lineage: Bacteria; Bacillati; Cyanobacteriota; Cyanophyceae; Chroococcales; Aphanothecaceae.